This 403-nucleotide unclassified non-coding RNA is filed under the name soil metagenome. Its description in RNAcentral is "partial contains 5.8S ribosomal RNA, internal transcribed spacer 2, and large subunit ribosomal RNA". The stretch from base 1 to 120 matches the Rfam family "5.8S ribosomal RNA", at positions 35 to 154 of the family's 154-position model. The record is from RNAcentral.
GAUGAAGAACGUAGCGAAAUGCGAUACGUAAUGUGAAUUGCAGAAUUCAGUGAAUCAUCGAAUCUUUGAACGCAUAUUGCGCUCUCUGGUAUUCCGGAGAGCAUGCUUGUUUGAGUAUCAGUAAACACCUCAACUCUCAUGGCUUGCCAUGAUGAGCUUGGACUUUUGGGGGUCUUGCUGGCCUGUGGUCAGCUCCUCUCAAAUGAAUUAGCCUGCCAGUGUUUGGUGGCAUCACAGGUGUGAUAACUAUCUACGCUUGUGGUUUUCCACCAGGUAACCUUCAGUGAUGAAGGUUCGCUGGGGCUCAUAAACGUCUCUCCUCAGUGAGGACAGCUCUUUGAACGUUUGAUCUCAAAUCAGGUAGGACUACCCGCUGAACUUAAGCAUAUCAAUAAGCGGAGGA